UAUGCUUUUACUAUUUCUACAUACAAGGGUGAAUAUGCUUUUACUAAUUCUCUGUAGUUUUUGCAAGGUGAUCGGUUUUUUAGACAUCGAAGCUCUUGCUUUGGAAGGUUGUCACCAUCCCAACCUGGAUUUGAGGCUUAACUCCUUGCCCUCAAGUGCAACAAGCUCACCAGCCUAUAUCUCACUUGCACUAUUGUUUGAGAUAAGCCAAUAACCAUUGGCCUCGAGUGGUGAUCGAAGGAUUUAAUUUGAGAAGCUUUUAUGCUACAACUGCUGUCACUUUAUUUCAUUUCAACAGAAGUUUAGUUUACACCAGUUUAAGACUGAGCUAUUGUCAGGUAACCAGCAUGUAUGUGGGUUUCAAAAAUUAGUUGAAGCAUGGAAAGGUAUAAUUAUUAAUGAAUUUGGUCCAUGGAAUCACACACCGAUUUGAUGACCAUACUGGUGAUUUGGCUUUUCCUCUAGCUAGAAAUUACAGAUACUUGGCCAGUGCAAGGAAUAUUAAGACUAAAGUUGCUUGUAGCCAAGAAAAUAGUAUUUUCUAGGUCUAAGUUAUUUCCCUGUUUUUGGUAGCAUGUUUGAAUUACAGAAUUAUGUUCUUUCUGUCGACAUAUACACCUCUGAAAAUCAUAAAUUAGAACAA
This is a long non-coding RNA of Panicum virgatum (switchgrass), 643 nucleotides long. RefSeq lists it as uncharacterized. NCBI's taxonomy places the organism in Eukaryota, Viridiplantae, Streptophyta, Magnoliopsida, Poales, Poaceae. The transcript is spliced from 2 exons. The record is from RefSeq and is a predicted model, not a curated record.